GGCCUCCCAGUGCUUACAACAGGCUGUGUCCUUACACUGACUGUAUAGAAAGAGGAGGCACAGCAAACCUACCCUAUAUACACCUCAGCCCAAGCCCUGUGCCUGGUCUGUAUUGUGAAUAGGGGGACAUAG
This is a small nucleolar RNA of Carlito syrichta (Philippine tarsier), 132 nucleotides long. The record is from Ensembl. NCBI's taxonomy places the organism in Eukaryota, Metazoa, Chordata, Mammalia, Primates, Tarsiidae.